UGGGGAAUAUUGCACAAUGGGCGCAAGCCUGAUGCAGCCAUGCCGCGUGUAUGAAUAAGGCCUUCGGGUUGUAAAGCACUUUCAGUCGGGAGGAAGGUGGUAAGGUUAAUAACCUUGGCAAUUGACGUUACCGACAGAAGAAGCACCGGCUAACUCCGUGCCAGCAGCCGCGGUAAUACGGAGGGUGCAAGCGUUAAUCGGAAUUACUGGGCGUAAAGCGCACGCAGGCGGUUGAUUGAGUCAGAUGUAAAAUCCCCGGGCUUGAACCGGGAAUUGGAGAUGGUACUGGUCAGGUAGAGUGUUGGAGAGGGGGGGAGAAUUCCAUGUGUAGCGGUGAAAUGCGUAGAGAUGUGGAGGAAUACCGGGGGCGAAGGCGGCCCCCUGGACAAAGACUGACGCUCAGGUGCGAAAGAGUGGGGAGCAAACAGG
RNAcentral lists this ribosomal RNA (429 nucleotides) under Chloroflexota bacterium. RNAcentral's name for it is "Chloroflexi bacterium partial 16S ribosomal RNA". It matches the Rfam family "Bacterial small subunit ribosomal RNA", at positions 355 to 776 of the family's 1533-position model. Lineage: Bacteria; Bacillati; Chloroflexota. The record is from RNAcentral.